This 75-nucleotide transfer RNA is filed under the name Bacteroidota bacterium. RNAcentral describes it as "Bacteroidetes bacterium (freshwater metagenome) tRNA-Val". It matches the Rfam family "tRNA". Rfam says of the family: Transfer RNA (tRNA) molecules are approximately 80 nucleotides in length. RNAcentral also lists the same sequence under 1 other name. Lineage: Bacteria; Pseudomonadati; Bacteroidota. The record is from RNAcentral.
GGGCAGUUAGCUCAGCGGUAGAGCACUACCUUGACAUGGUAGGGGUCACAGGUUCGAACCCUGUACUGCCCACCA